RNAcentral lists this long non-coding RNA (5049 nucleotides) under Marmota monax (woodchuck). Lineage: Eukaryota; Metazoa; Chordata; Mammalia; Rodentia; Sciuridae. The record is from RNAcentral.
CCCCAGCAGCAGGGUGCAGGGCAUGGGCGGGGCCCCCUUUCUGACUGUCCUUCCACAGGUUCCUUCCUGUGCCUUCUAUGUCUCCUAGAAACCACCACAGGAAACCACUUGGCAUGCCCCUGUGCCCAGGCAGACUCCUCGGGAAACAAGGAUGGUCUAUAGUAAGUGAGGGGAGGGGACGGAGUCUGUCCUCACAGUGCCCUGGCUGCUUCUGCAUCCCAACUACAGGGCAAGGAGAAAGAAUCCCCCUUAAUUAUUCACCCAUUAACACAACAAACAUGUAAGAGUCCCCACCAUGGGACUCACAGGCCAGGUGGAUUCUGGCCUGAGAGAGCCACAGCGAGUGCUGGCACAAAGGGGCACGUGCUUAUGAUGCGGAGGUGUCCAGAUGCUGAGUGCCCAGGCAAGGUGGACAACACACCUGGUUCUGGUCCACAUGGAGCUGGUCAGACCUGCCCAGUCCUCUUGUGAAGCCAGAGGGCCAUGGACUUGUGUGCAAGGAAUUUCUUUGCCCCAGAAUCUGCUUCUGUCCUGAUGCUCAGAGGUGUCACGAAGACGAAAAACUAGGAUGGGGAAACCCAGUGCCUUGACUGUGGCAAAAGUGAUCAGAGUAACCAUUUCCCAGCCUUUUCUUUUCUCAUUUUCUUUUCCUCCUCCCCCUCCUCUUCUUCUUUUUUUUUAAAUUGCUACUAGGGAUUGAACCCAGGGGUGCUUAACCACUGAGCCACAUCCCAGCCCUUUUUACUUAUUUAUUUUUUGGUUGCUGAGGCUGGCUUUGAACUUGUGAUCCUCCUGUCUUAGCCUUUUGAGCCACUAGGAACCUUUCUUGAUGUCUGUGCUUGGAAACCACCUUGCCCCUCUUCGGGCACCAAACCCAAUACUGAGACGCUAGGUGGAGAUACAUUUCUCAAGCAAUAAACUCAAAGGCCCUCCCUCUUCCUUUCCAGUCUAUUCCUACCCUCCUCUUCUACCCAUGCAGCAGAGAACUUACAAACUUAAAUUGGGUUGGGAAUUGUGCAUUUUUAGGGAAGGCUAAAAAUGCAACCAUUAACUGAGCUCACACAGCGUCUCUGCUUGCUAGCUGUAUGACCUUUGGAAAGGUACUUAACUUCUCUGAACCUUCACUUCCACCCAGAGGCUCCCGCUGUUGUUGCCUCCGCUGUUCCUCCAAACAAGCUCUCUUCGGUCCCAUUUCCUGCCUCUUGCAUUUCUCUUUAUUUCUAACUCUGCCUGAAACCUGUGGGCAGCCAGUCCUAUUAGAAAUUUCAUUCACACUUAAGAAGUCUGCAAAUUGGUGUCACUCAGCAGGUGUCUGUCCUUCACAGGGGGAAAGGGGUCUGAUGGACAAGAUGGGCAGAGCUAGGGAACAGAGUAGAAUCUCUUCCAGGCACCCCUCGGUAUCCAGGGCUGGUGUGGAAAGGAAGGGGAAGAAAUCCUUCUUUGCUAACACAUCUGGGGAGGGAAGUGGAGUACACUCCUAAUUUGAGAGAUGGAUAAGACAGUCCCUGUUAAGUCAAACACACCCCAGUUUCAAUUUUGACUACUGCUUAACAGCUGUGUGAUUUUAAGCCAAUCACUUAACAUCCCUGAGCCUUGAAUUCUUCAACUGUAAAAUGAACUAGAUCACUUUGCUAGGCAUUAUGACAAUUAGGCAAAUGAGGUGUCAUAAUACAUGAAGGUAUACAAGGUCUCCAUAUUUCGGUCUCUUCGGCCUCCUCUUUUAUAUUGUUCCUGGUUGUCUUCUUUACCAUCCUUGGGUACCACAGGUCUCCUUUCCUGAAAUAGGAACAGAUGGAAACUACCAUCUCACUACUAGUCUCCCUUCUUAUGUAGGAGUUUUAUCCAUUUCAGUGUUGAUGCUUCCCUUCCUCAAAUCAGCAUCUUGUCCAUUUCAAGGUGUUCAAUAUACAAUGAAAGAAGGAAGGGAGGCCAAAUCCCUUCCCAUCUUAAAAACACAGAAAUCAAGGACUAGAGAGGUCACGACUUGCCUCUCAGUCAUUCAGCAACGUAACUUUCUAGGAAUCCCAGAACACAAAAGGGUCGGGGGACGCCAGGGUCAGGGCAGGAGUUUCUAGCCUUAACCGCAGCGAUGCGGCAGCCUGGUCCUUUACUGCAGCUAUCAGGUUUCCCGGAUAAGCAUGGACGUGACGCCCUCUGCUGGAUUCUCUAGGUAACUUCUUUAGUCGCAGUUCUGUCAGCAAUGCAACAGAACGGACCAGCUUUGAAAAUUUCCCCGUUCAGGCUCCACCCCAAACUGAUUAAAUCAGAACCUUGGGGUGUGACCCGAGCUCCAGUAAUUUUUAAAGUUCCUCAUGUUCAGUUGAGACUGAGGACCACUGAUUGAAGGAGUAAUUUUUAUAUGUGGAGAAACUAGCAUAGAAAUUUCCCUGGGUUGAAUCUGUCCGAUUUCCAUUAAAAAAUUAACAAUUCGAGAUUCACCUGGGUCUGAGAAUCUUGAGACUUUUCAAGAGUUGAGUGUAUAAAAGUGGCACAAUUGUUUUGUUGACAGUUUAUGUCCAAAAUCUGGCCACUGUUGGGUCAAGAGAGCUAAGAGAGGGGAAAUUGCUUGGAUAAAAUGAGUGAUUUACAUUUAGCUCCCAGAGUUUAGUCAGCUUCAUACCCUGUAACACAAAGGAUCUUUUUCUUUCUUUUUGGGUGGGGAAGAUAUUAAGGAUUAAACUCAGAGGUGCUCUACCACUGAGCCACAUCCACAGCCCUUCUUAUUUUUUGAGAUAGGGUCUCUCUAAGUUGCCCAGGCUGGCCUCAAGAACUUGCAAUCUUCCUGCCCCAGCCUCCUGAGUCACUGGCAUUACAGGUGUGUGCCACCAUGCCUGGCUAACACAAUGAUCUUAAACACAGCCCUGCAUCAGGAUCAGCUGUUAGAUUGAUCAAAGACAGAUUGCUAGGCCCCACCUCCUGAUUUUCCAAUAAAUUCCCAUGUCAAGCCUAUGCUGUUGGUUUAGGACCACACUUAGAAAACUGUUGCUCUAAAAAACCAGACCACUAGGUAUAUGUAUGAAGACAAGAAUGGUGUGACUCUACUUUCUGUACAACCAGAGAAAUGAAAAAUUGUGCUCUGUUUGUAUACUAUGAAUCAAAAUGCAUUCUGCUGUCAUGGAUAACAAAUUAGAAUAAAUGAAUAAUUUUUUAAAAAGAAAUUUUAAAAAUCAAAAACAAACAAAAAAGCCCCCAGACCAGAUCAACAACUAAUUUCAGGUCUGCAUUUGGUUCAGCACCAUGGGGAUCCCCACAGUGCCCAGAAUAUUCUCACAAUAGGUAUACAUAGCAGCAAGAAUAGCAGUUCAUGCGUAAUGUUUUAUAAGUAAACAAAUCAAGUCUUACCUCUCAAGUGCUUCCAGAUUGUAAGGUCCCUAGAGAAGUGGAAGGAAGGGAUAUUUCCAGUACAGGAGUGGGCAGUCGAGAUCAGUGGUUUUCCUAAGGAAGCAGGACUAGGAGCACUGCCAUCCACAGUCAAGAUAACAUCCUUAUUGAACACCUGGGGCUUCAAACUUUUUGCUUGAUAAUAUUAUUAUCAUAACUGAGUAGUUAUGAAGGUGUCAUUAUUAUUAUUAUUAUUAUUUGCGGCACUGGGAAUUGAACCCAGGAACCAUAUUCCCAGUCCUAUUUUAUUUUGAGAAAGGAUCUAAGUUGCCCAGGCUGGUCUUGAACUUACACUCCUCCUAUUUUCUGAGUGGCUGGGAUCAUAGGCAUGUGCCACCACACCCAGUUAAAUAUUGACUUCUUAAGAAAUACAUCAAAGGAAUGCAACCACCUCUAAAUUAGGUAGUGAUUUGAUACCGUUGGGGUAAACACUAGUCAGUGCCAAGAAGGUUUGUUGUUUCUGAAGGUGAACUAAGAAGGACCUCCAAGAAUGUGUUGUGAGGGGCAAGAAGGAAGGAAGCUGACCAUUUCCCUCAUCUCCAGUCUUUAGGUGGGGAUCGAAGCAGAAUGAUCUUGGUUGUGAAACAGAGUCACUACUCAUAAAACAUACGAAGAAACCCAUGCGUGCAGUAGGCAUGCAAUCUCUCUUGUAGAUAUAUUCUCCUGCUUGUAUGUGCAGCCCUCCAUUGUAUCCAGGCCUGCUACUUCCAAAGAGUACAUAAGUAAUAAAAUGUCCAGAAGUUCUUUCUUUGUGAUCAAAAAUCAUACAUUGGGGCCUUUGCAGCCCUGGUUUUGCACAUAUACUAACAUUAUCCUUUUUUAAAGUAUAUGAAAUAACUGUUCUUACUGACAAUGUUAAUUUUACUCAAAGCACCUGUGCUCCUCAAAAACAGCAAUGGUUAAGAAACCCACCCCUCACCCUUUUGUGUUAGCAAUGAAUUACUACAAAGAAACACCCUUCUCCAACUAAGAUAAAACUCAUGGAUUCCCCACUGUGGCCUCUGAUGAUGCUGAGCACAUUUCAAGUCCUAUUUUAUUUUGAAACAGGAUCUAAGUUGCCCAGGCUGGUCUUGAACUUGCACUCCUCCUAUUUUCUGAGUGCCUGGGAUCCCAUUCUUGACUUCAUCAGUGAUCUCAUGAACUGCUUGGCCCACUGAAUAACUGAAACAAUAUGGAUGACUAAACUUUAAUUAAGCUUUUGACUCUCUCCCUUUCCCAUGUUCCCCCAAUUUUGGCCCUCUCUCAGUCUAAACCACUAAACAAUCCCUCCUUAACAGCCUCCUAAGAAUAGUAUGGUCCCCAAAUAAAACAUUCUCCUGUCUACUAUCCCAUCAUGUCACUUCUAUUCAUCCCAUUUCUAGCUUUUGUUUACACUUCCCUAAAAAAAAGAAAUGCUUUUUGUCUUAUCCUUGGGAACAUGGAGAGAUCAUGGCCAGAGUGCUCAGCUCACCAUUCCCCAUUCCAUUCCCAAAAUAAUACUUUCAAAUAAAUCUGGAUUUGUUUCUGACUUGACAUUAGAUGCAACAUGCUUUUUUUUCUCCUUGAAUUUACAUUCGACUUCUGUUAUGAAGUUUAAUCCAACCAUAAUAUAUUUUCAUGCUUGGCAAUAUUUUAUGAUGCAUCCACUCAUUUCUCCCACAAAAUGAUGUCAAUAAAUUUAAAUUUGCU